UCCCUGGUAGCUCAGAUGGUAAAGCAUCUGCCUGCAAUGCAGGAGACCCAGGUUCAAUCCUGAGUCGGGAAG
RNAcentral lists this transfer RNA (72 nucleotides) under Bos taurus (domestic cattle). It matches the Rfam family "tRNA". From Rfam's summary of the family: Transfer RNA (tRNA) molecules are approximately 80 nucleotides in length. Their secondary structure includes four short double-helical elements and three loops (D, anti-codon, and T loops). RNAcentral also lists the same sequence under 1 other name. The record is from Rfam by way of RNAcentral. Lineage: Eukaryota; Metazoa; Chordata; Mammalia; Artiodactyla; Bovidae.